RNAcentral lists this transfer RNA (64 nucleotides) under Davidius fruhstorferi. RNAcentral's name for it is "tRNA-Gly". The record is from RNAcentral. Lineage: Eukaryota; Metazoa; Arthropoda; Insecta; Odonata; Gomphidae.
AUUUGUUUAGUAUAUAAGUAUAAUUAACUUCCAAUUAAUAGGACUGAGUUUAUCAGAACAAAUA